GCGGAAGUAGCUCAGGGGUAGAGCUUCAGUUUCCCAAACUGAAGGUCGCGGGCCGUGACGAUCCGCCCGAAGCGGAUGUCACGGUGCAGACAGCCGCCACAAGUGGCUUGUCGGCAUUCGAAUCCCGUCUUCCGCU
Molecule: transfer RNA, 136 nt
Filed under: Phnomibacter ginsenosidimutans
Lineage: Bacteria; Pseudomonadati; Bacteroidota; Chitinophagia; Chitinophagales; Chitinophagaceae
Rfam family: tRNA
About the family: Transfer RNA (tRNA) molecules are approximately 80 nucleotides in length.
Source: Rfam by way of RNAcentral